UGGGGAAUUUUCCGCAAUGGGCGAAAGCCUGACGGAGCAAUGCCGCGUGGAGGUGGAAGGCCUACGGGUCGUCAACUUCUUUUCUCGGAGAAGAAGCAAUGGCGGUAUCUGAGGAAUAAGCAUCGGCUAACUCUGUGCCAG
RNAcentral lists this ribosomal RNA (141 nucleotides) under uncultured bacterium. Its description in RNAcentral is "partial 16S rRNA". It matches the Rfam family "Bacterial small subunit ribosomal RNA", at positions 355 to 511 of the family's 1533-position model. The record is from RNAcentral.